This 540-nucleotide ribosomal RNA is filed under the name uncultured bacterium. Its description in RNAcentral is "bacterial SSU rRNA". It matches the Rfam family "Bacterial small subunit ribosomal RNA", at positions 380 to 912 of the family's 1533-position model. The record is from RNAcentral.
CCCCUGACCCAGCAACGCCGCGUGAAGGAUGAAAUCCUUCGGGAUGUAAACUUCGCAAGAACGGGAAGAAUAAGUAAGGGUUAAUAUCUCUUACGAUGACGGUACCGUUUGUAAGCUCCGGCUAACUCCGUGCCAGCAGCCGCGGUAAUACGGAGGGGGCGAGCGUUAUUCGGAAUUAUUGGGCGUAAAGGGCGCGUAGGCGGCCCGGUAAGUCAAAGGUGAAAUCCCUCGGCUCAACUGAGGAACUGCCUUUGAAACUGUCGGGCUUGAGGCCGGGAGGGGGUAGCGGAAUUCCCAGUGUAGCGGUGAAAUGCGUAGAUAUUGGGAGGAACACCGGUGGCGAAGGCGGCUACCUGGACCGGUUCUGACGCUGAUGCGCGAAAGCGUGGGUUAGCAACACAGGAUUAGAUACCCUGGUAGUCCACGCUGUAAACGAUGAGUGCUCGGUGUCGCGGGUAUCGACCCCUGCGGUGCCUUAGCUAACGCGUUAAGCACUCCGCCUGGGGAGUACGGUCGCAAGGCUGAAACUCAAAGGAAUUG